GUGGGCGCAGGAUAUUUGCAAGGAGCUGUCCCUAGUACGAGAGGACCGGGAUGGACGCACCUCUGGUGCACCAGUUGUCACGCCAGUGGCACAGCUGGGCAGCUAUGUGCGGAACGGAUAAACGCUGAAAGCAUCUAAGCGUGAAACCGCCCUUAAGAUAAGAUAUCCCACCAGGUUAACUGGGUAAGACCCCUUGUAGACUACGAGGUUGAUAGGCUG
RNAcentral lists this ribosomal RNA (219 nucleotides) under Bigelowiella natans. RNAcentral's name for it is "partial Bacterial large subunit ribosomal RNA". It matches the Rfam family "Bacterial large subunit ribosomal RNA", at positions 2647 to 2863 of the family's 2925-position model. The record is from RNAcentral. Lineage: Eukaryota; Cercozoa; Chlorarachniophyceae.